RNAcentral lists this ribosomal RNA (251 nucleotides) under uncultured bacterium. Its description in RNAcentral is "partial 16S ribosomal RNA". It matches the Rfam family "Bacterial small subunit ribosomal RNA", at positions 102 to 353 of the family's 1533-position model. The record is from RNAcentral.
ACGGGUGAGUAAUGUCUGGGAAACUGCCUGAUGGAGGGGGAUAACUACUGGAAACGGUAGGCUAAUACCGCAUAACGUCGCAAGACCAAAGAGGGGGACCUUCGGGCCUCUUGCCAUCAGAUGUGCCCAGAUGGGAUUAGCUAGUAGGUGGGGUAACGGCUCACCUAGGCGACGAUCCCUAGCUGGUCUGAGAGGAUGACCAGCCACACUGGAACUGAGACACGGUCCAGACUCCUACGGGAGGCAGCAUG